RNAcentral lists this ribosomal RNA (381 nucleotides) under uncultured eukaryote. Its description in RNAcentral is "partial 18S ribosomal RNA". It matches the Rfam family "Eukaryotic small subunit ribosomal RNA", at positions 592 to 976 of the family's 1831-position model. The record is from RNAcentral.
CAAUAGCGUAUAUUAAAGCUGUUGCGGUUAAAAAGCUCGUAGUUGGAUUUCUGUCAAGGACAACUGGUCCGCCCUCCGGGUGAGCACAUAGUUUGGUCUUGGCAUCUUGUUCAAAACUGUUACUGCGCUUGGUUGUGUGGUGCAGUUUUGGGCACUUUCACUUUGAGGAAAUUGGAGUGUUUCAAGCAGGCACAUGCCUUUGGACACAGUAGCAUGGAAUAAUUAGAUUGGGCUUUUGCUCCAACUUGUCGGUUCCUGGAGCUGAGGUGAGAAUCAAUGGGGAUUGUUGGGGGCAUCUGAAUUUAGCCGUCAGAGGUGAAAUUCUUGGAUCUGCUAAAGACGGACAACUGCAAAAGCGUUUGCCCAGGAUGUUUUCAUUGA